AUACGUAGGGGGCGAGCGUUGUCCGGAAUUACUGGGCGUAAAGGGUGCGUAGGCGGCUUGGCAAGUCGGAUGUGAAAUACUCUUGCUUAACGAGAGGGGUGCAUACGAAACUGCUGAGCUUGAGUGUAGGAGAGGAAAGCGGAAUUCCUAGUGUAGCGGUGAAAUGCAUAGAUAUUAGGAGGAACACCAGUGGCGAAGGCGGCUUUCUGGACUACAACUGACGCUGAGGCACGAAAGCGUGGGGAGC
RNAcentral lists this ribosomal RNA (247 nucleotides) under uncultured bacterium. RNAcentral's name for it is "partial 16S ribosomal RNA". It matches the Rfam family "Bacterial small subunit ribosomal RNA", at positions 523 to 769 of the family's 1533-position model. The record is from RNAcentral.